Molecule: long non-coding RNA, 563 nt
Organism: Benincasa hispida (wax gourd)
Lineage: Eukaryota; Viridiplantae; Streptophyta; Magnoliopsida; Cucurbitales; Cucurbitaceae
Source: RefSeq, a predicted model, not a curated record
AUUCAAUUUUCAUUUUAUUUUUUUUCGUAUUCCUAUUUUACCCUCAAACUUUUUUCCUCUCACGACUCUCUUUACAUGCAGGCCCCUUCCCAGCCGUUUCCUCACUCUCAAGUUCCAGUCUCCAAGCCAUCAAGCCAACCCAGUCGUCGCUCGUCUGUCGUUCCUCACGCACUUCCUACCGUCGCUCGUCCGUCGAUUGCCAACCACGUCGCUCACCGGUGACCGAUUGCCGUUGUUGGAUCGAAGAAGAGAGCUCGUUGAAUUAAUUGCUGGAAUCGAGAAACAUCUUUAGUGGAUUUUGAAUGCAAGUUUAAGAAGUCAUUCUUUUAAAAACCUGGUGAUGAGAAAAUACAAUAGACCAUCAAAAUUCAACAAUUUGCAAAGAAGAUUAUGAACAAUUUUUUCCAAGUUUAUUAUUAAACUUGCAGAGAAGAAAUUAUUAAGAAAUUUUCAACUUCUAUAGAUUUGUUCCCGUCCUUUAUCUAGGACCAAUGACUAUUAAAAAUUGAUGUAACAUUGAUAAAUCAGGUUGUGAGUUAAUAGAAAUUGAAGUUGAAAUUGUA